Holospora obtusa F1 is the source of this 72-nucleotide transfer RNA. It matches the Rfam family "tRNA". Rfam says of the family: Transfer RNA (tRNA) molecules are approximately 80 nucleotides in length. The record is from Rfam. Lineage: Bacteria; Pseudomonadati; Pseudomonadota; Alphaproteobacteria; Holosporales; Holosporaceae.
GGGCCUUUAGCUCAGUGGUAGAGCAUCUGACUUUUAAUCAGAGGGUCGCAGGUUCAAGUCCUGCAAGGCCUA